GUGUUGUGUCCAUUCGAGAGAGACCUGACUAGGCCGUUUCAGGUUGACGGAACUUGGUAAGCUCAAGGGACACGUCGAAGUUGGUUUGUCAACUAGAAGGCGCUCGACAUCGAGACUGUCCAGCAGUUUGUACAUGGUGGGAUGAUAUGGGCUUACAUGACUGCCUCUUCAGCUACAACUACUUGGGUGAGUCCCUGAUUUCUCCUUCCUCCUCUGUUUUCUCUGGGUGCUAGCUUUCGAGUUAUGGCCAUACCGUGUUCUGUUCUGGCCAUCGAGCCGAAGAUCUAGUGGUUGUCGUCUAUCCUAUGGUUUUAUGAUGUUAGUGUUUUCAUGUUUAGGUUUAGUCAUUUGCUAUGUGUUGAUGAUGAUGAUGAUGGUUGCAAAUGAUGUGUUAGGCACAUUUACAGAGUUGGAUGAAGAACCAUUUCAAAAAAAUAUUUUCCUAAAAUUUAUUUAGAUGGAACAGACUCUUGUUUAAUUGUUAUUUUGUUGUGCUGGCAUUUUCACUUUGAACUAUAAAUUUUGCAACUACAGCCUGCUUUUUUGCCAAUUGCGAUUAAUUGUUCACGGUAUUUGUUCUUAAGUGCAUAUCUGGAAUCAAAAGCCACGAACCAGUCAAAUUUUCUUAUUUGCAAGGAAGGUAUGGUAGACCCAAAUAGUUCCCCUUUGAACAUUUAAUGAGAUAAAAGUGUCGUAGAAACAAGCAGUCAUGUGAAACCAUCAUAUAUUCCCUACCUAUACUGGGAAUAAAUCAGCCAUAUCUGCCUAACUUAGUCCUUGUUGUGUAUCCAGCAACUGGUUGGCUGAAGCUAUUUCCCAGCUUCGUUGACCUAGAAAGAUAAACCUAGGUGGAUUCUAGGUAUGAAACCCACUUUUCUUAUUGUGAGACUUUGAGAACAGAGCCGUCACUCUGUUGGUAAGCUGUGAGGGUGCACGUUUGAGUCAUAGACUCCACGGGGUCUCAGGUUUUUUCUUCUAUAAUAAAAUGCCACCAAGGGCUCCUGUUAGGUAUCUUUUUUCUAUAUUCUGAGACCCUGAAUAUAACUUCCUGUAAUUUUGUUAUCAUUCUUCAUUUCAAGAAUCACAGAUUGUAAAGUUGAUUAGUAAAAAGAAUUUAUCUUCAAUAAAUUUGUUAUCAUCCUCUAUUAUGUAUUGUUGAAUCAAGUGGUCAAAAUAAGAAAUCAGAUGGUCAUUUCAUUUAUUUAGCUACAAGCAUGCAACAAACUCUUGGUUAUUUUUUACCUGUCCUAGCAUCUUUGAUGGAAAUGAAAACACUUGAUCUUAGAUGUGGCACCAAUAUACUUUAGGUCCAUGUUAUAACUGUCAAGAAUAUGAUACAACGUUGGGUUUUAUCUCUGGGUUUCCAGAGUUGGAUGAAGAAAUGUCGUACUGGAAGCUACUUGGUUGCUAUUGUCUAGUAGAUGAUAAUUGAUUUAUAGUCCUGUGAUGACCAGGGGUGUUCCUCCCCUAACAUAGCUACUGUGUUCAAUUUUGGUGUGGUCACUAUUAUGAUUGCUUAAGCUAUCUGUAGUGCUCUGCAUAAGUGUUAAGAGUGUAAAGUUUCAUCAUGUUUCCUUUUACAGGAGUUUUAGCUUAUUCUUUGAGGCUGCCAUAUCUUCUACAACCUCGGCGAUGGCGCCACCUCUUCUUGGUUCAGGUGAGCCCUUGAUGUCCUCUCUCCUGCUCUAAGAUGGGGUUCGGCCAUCAAGUCAUUGAUUUAGUGUUCAGAUAAAUGGUUGUGGUCUUCCGAUGGGCCACCACGAUCAUGUGAGCUUGCUGGAUUUUUGUCCCUAUUAGCUGCCUGGAUUGAUAGUUUCCAAAUGUUAAACAUUCUGGGCAGCAAAGGGCUUAGUGGGAUUAAAAAUGGUCAAACUAAGCCCUCAAAUGUUGCCUCACAGCUAGUUUUUACAUUCUGUUGUAACUAGGUAGGGUUAUUGUUGUCAAGUGCUUAAAAUCAGAGAAUGGUUUGAGUUGUCGAUUGUUUUUGUGCUGAGAUCAAAAUGCAUGUGAUUAGAUAAUGCGGUACUCUGGCAUGAUAUAGUGACUAUUCAUCAUGGUUAUGCUUCCGUUUCAAUUGUGAUUCAAUGAAUAUGCUUCUUGGUAGUAUUGGUAGGUGAUUCUUUGUCUUCUUUGAUAGGAUUGAACAAGAAAAGAGUGAUAUUCUCUACAUGAUUUCUUACCAAAUGUUAGUGAUGUGCUUUGUGGUACUGAUAAGAAGUGUGGCAUGCUUGACCUAUUCCCAUGUGCUGGUGCUGCGUGCAGUGAAUAUAGGAAUACGAUGGCUUGACUGAUUGUGACUUGCCACAGAGCUUAUUUUAACAGAGCAUCAUGGAAGAAGCUUGGUUUCAAGUUGGUACGGUCUACUAGGUGACGUUUGAUUUUAUAGGCCUUUUUUCACCAAGGCAUGGGCUUGUGUAGUGUUGUCUUGGUGAUGUGCAAUGUGUAGUAUUCCGUUCUUAGAUGGUGAGGGAUGAUGUUGCAUUGCUGAAUGGGUUCCAGAACAUACAUUCGAGAAUUUUUUUUCAUUUGGUUUGGUCAAUAUUUAUCAUGAUUUGCUUAAAUCAUAUGUGUCGUGGAGUAGCUUCAAAUGCAUGCAUCGUGCAUAGUGCUUAUCUACCCUGAACACAUGAUUACAUUCUUUACAGCCAUGGAACUUUGCUCACUUGUUUCCCCAAAGUUGUUCUUCUUCAUUUGUGUUCUCCCCAAUGCUGCAGAGGUGGCGUAGGUAAGAUAAGGCACUCCCUUCCUCUCCUAUGCUUCCUCUUCUGUUCUGUGUCUCCAUGGCCAUCGAGCCAUGGUAGGUUCUAUGCUGGCCAUGCAAAUUUCUAGGGUUUGAGGCUAUGGUGAUGGUAUGUUGUGAUAACUAGUGCCACUAUUUCUCUUCUGCUCUUUGUGUCCACAUCCAUCGUGUCGUGGUGAGCUCCGUUCUCGCCAUCGUGCCAUGGAAAGCUCUAGUCUUUUGGGCUAUGGUGAUGGCCGCCCUUUGCGUGGAUUUAGCCCCGGAAACAAGUUUUUUAGUUUGACUUGUGGUUUAUAUAAUCAAUUAAUCCCCAAUCCAGCACUAUUUCUGGUUUGUCUACCGGAUUUUUUCAUUAUUUCCAUGCAGACUAUGUAUGCGAUGCACUUGAGACUUGACCUCUACCUUUUGAGUUUUGAUACGCUCGAAUAUUGUUAUGCUAUAAUUUUGUGUCUUGUACAUUCGAGAGAGAUCUGACUAGGCUGUUACAGGUUGAGGGAACUUGAUAAGCUCAAGGGACAUGUGGAAUUUGGUUUGCCAACUAGAAGGCGCUCGGCAUCGAGACGGUCCAGCAGUCCGUACACGGUGUGAUGAUCUGGGCUUCCAUGAAUGCAUCAGCUACAACUACUUGGGUGAGUCCCUGAUCUGGGCUCCCAUUGUAUGCGUCCUACAUCUUGCUUAUCAACCCUCAACACAUGGUUACAUUCUUUAAAGCCAUGGACCUUUGCUCACUUGUUUCCCAAAGUUGUUCUUUCUUCAUUUGUGUUUUCCUCUUGCAGAUGCGAUCGUUGUUGUGAUAGAGCUGCAGUGGUGGUGUAGGUAAGAUAAGGCACUCCCUUCCUCUCAUGUGCUUUCUCUUUCGCUCUGUGUGUCCAUGGCCAUCAAGCCGUGGUAGGUUCUAUGCUGGCCAUGGAAAUUUCUAGGAUUUGGGGCUAUGGUGACGGUUUGUUGUGAUAACUAGCGCCACCAUUUCUCUUCUUCUGUUUGUGUCCACGACGUGUCAUGGUGAGCAUUGUGCUCGCCAUCGCGCGAUGGCAAUCUCUAGUUUUGUUGGGCUGUGGUGAUGGUCACCAUUUGAGUGGAUUUAGCCCUGGAGGACUAAGUGUUUUAGAUUGCCUCAUGGUUCAUAGAAUUUAUUAAUCCCCAAUAUGGCACUAUUUCUUUUUUGUCCAUUGAAUUUCUUCAUUAUUUCUGUGUAGACUAUGUAUGCUUUUUUGCCAGUUGCAAUUAAUUGUUCGCGGUAUUUGUUCUUGACCUGCAUAUUUGGAAUCAACUGGCCAGGAACCAGUCAAAUUUUCUUAUUUGUAAGGAAGGUAUGGGGGAAACAAAUAAUACCCUUUUGAAAUUUUAUGAGAUAAAAGUGAGAUAGAAACAAUCUGCCAUGUGAAAUCAUCAUAUAUUCCCUAUCUGUGUUGGGCAUAAACCAGUCAUAUCUUCCUAACUUAGUUCUUGCUGUGUAUCUAGAAACUGGUUUCCUGAAGCUAUUCCCCAACUUCAUUGACCUACGGAUAUAAACCUUGAUGGAUUUUAGGUAUUUCUUAGCUUGGUUGGCCUACUGAGAUGAACACUUUUUCUUUUUUGUGAGACUUUGAGAACAGAGUCGUUGCUCUGUUGGUAAGGUGUGCGGAUGCAUAUUUGAGUCUUAGACUCCGCGGUGUCUCAGGUUGUUUCUUCUAUAUAUAAAAAAUGCCGCCAAGUGCUCCUGUUUGGUCCCCCUUUUCAUAUUCUGAGACCUUGAAAUAUAACUUCCUGUAAUUUUGUUAUCAUUCUGCAUUUCAAGAACCACCGAUUGUAAAGUUGAUUUGUAAAUCGUUUACGCAAUCUCUCGUGUUGUGCAUAAGUGUUAAGAGUGUAAAGUUUCAUCCAAUUCCUUUUUUUUCAUGAAUUUUAGGUUAUUCUUUGAGGUCUCCUAAUCUUCUACAACCUCGGCAGUGGUGGCUGCCUCUUCUUGGUUCAGGUAAGCCCUUGAUGUCCUAUCUCUCUCCUCCUCCGAGAUGGUGUCUGGCCAUCAAGCCAUUGAUUUAGUGUUCAGAUCCACGGUGCUGGUCUUUCGGCGGUCCAUCAAGCCAUUGAUGUUCAUCCCUAUUAGCUGGCUGCGUUGAUUGUUUUGAAAUGUUAAGCAUUUUGGGCAGCUAAGGGUUUAGUUGGAUUCAAAAUGUGAAAACUAAGCCCUCGAACUAACCAAAUGUUGCCUCUCAGCUAUGGAGCAAAAUUAUAUGAUUUCGUCUUUGUUUAUUAUCUUGUCGCCUUGCUAGACGAAAUGGGAAUAUAUGCAUUGGUUUUUGACAUUAUGUUGUAACUAGGUAGGGUGAUUUUUGUCAAAUGCUUAAAAUCAGAGAAUGGUAUGAGUUGAUUGUUUUUGACCCGAGAUCAAAAUGCAUGUGAUUAGAUAAUCCGGUACUAUAUGGCAGAACAUUUGGGCAUGAUAUAGUGACUAUUUAACAUGGUUAUGCUACUGUUUGGGUUGUGAUUCUACGGAUAUGCUUCCUGGCAUUGCUAGUAUUGGUAGGUGAUUGUUGGUCUUGUUUAAUAGGAUUGAACAAGAAAAGAGAGAUAUUCUCUACUUGAUUUCUUACAAAAUGUGUUAGCGUUGUGCUUUGUGUUGCUGAAAAGAAGUUUGGCAUGCUUGACCUAUUCCCAUGUGCUGGUGCAGUGGUGCAGUGUGCAGUGAUUAUAGAACACGAUGGCUUGACUAAUUGUAACCUGCAAUGAAGCACAUUUUAAGAGAGCAUCAUGGAAUAAUCUUGGUUUCUAGUUGGUACUGUCUAGUAGGUGAUGUUUGAUUUUAUAGGCCUUUUUUUACCAAGGCAUGGGCAUGUGUAGUAUUGUCUUGGUGUUGUGCAAUGUGUACUAUUCCGUUCAUUUUAAUUUGGUUUUGUAAAUAUUUAUUAUGAUUUGGUUAAACCAAAGAUAUUGUGGAGUAGCUCCAAGUGUAUGCGUCGUGCAUAGUGCUGAUCUACCUGAACACAUAUUUACGUUCUUUUGAGCCAUGGACCUUUGCUCCCUUGUACUCCCUCCGUUCCAAAUUACUCAUCGUGGUUUUAGUUCAAAUUUUGAACUAAAACCACGACGAGUAAUUUGGAACGGAGGGAGUAGAUAUUUAUUUUGUCAGCAUGCACCCCUUGUUGAUGCAUUAGAUAGAGGACCUGACCCAUCCUGGUUGUUUCUUUGAAUAUUACUACAGGAGUGGAAGUCGCAGGCUGAGGGAAGGGAAGUUUAUACUCCACAUGGGAAGGAAAGGAGGUGACAGACCCAAGUGUUGUUUGCUUGCGCGGUAGUUGCAACAAACAUGCCCCAAGUGUUGUUCCUUCAAGACUUUUUGUUGCUGUGGACACAUGUGUUUGUUAUGGUUGGUUUAUGAUGAGUCACAACAAAAAACUUGGGUUGUUGAUGUGUCUGUGAAACAAUCAAUUUCUUUUUGUUUGUUUGUUUGUAUCGAACCCAAGGAAGGAGCAUAAUACUUUGAAGCUGCCGAUCGAAUUGGUGGUUUUGAGGGUGGUAUUAUAUAUUGAACUCACUCAUCUACUGGUCCAUAUUUAUUUAUGUUUGUGGAAUUUGCAGUGCCUCAUUGGAUUUAUCAAAUAUUUUCUAGAGGAAGUUAGGUUGAAUUGAUGAUGAGUUAUGUAUUGGCUGCCCCAAGUUGGGUUAGUUGGUUCCCCUUUAUUAUGUAGAAUGUAUCCAAAUGGUAUGGAAUGUAUGUUAUUUAUAAGUGCUCCACCAUGAUGGUACGACGCGGCGGUGGAACUGGUUGUUGAUGAGGGAAGGUCUUGGUCGACGAGCUCCUCUACAUAUUGAGGAAUGCCGAUGGGUGUUGCUUGCUUCAUGCGAAACUGCUGUGAAGUUGUGCAAAAUCUAGCAAGGAGUUGUUGCCACGAUCAAUCAAGUGGAAAAUAUGUUUGAACGAAUCAGUCCAGUCAGGCUUGCUUGUUUUGAUUAGAUGCACACCACAACACCACUUAUGAAGAAAGAAAUUUGAGUCUUUACGUCGUGAUCCAAUGGAAGAUGUU
Molecule: long non-coding RNA, 6744 nt
Filed under: Triticum aestivum (bread wheat)
Lineage: Eukaryota; Viridiplantae; Streptophyta; Magnoliopsida; Poales; Poaceae
Description: long non-coding RNA (TAES_LNC004942)
Source: RNAcentral